Antechinus flavipes (yellow-footed antechinus) is the source of this 673-nucleotide long non-coding RNA. RefSeq lists it as uncharacterized. The record is from RefSeq and is a predicted model, not a curated record. Lineage: Eukaryota; Metazoa; Chordata; Mammalia; Dasyuromorphia; Dasyuridae. The transcript is spliced from 2 exons.
AGUUGACUCCCAGGCUUGCCCUAUCCUCUCUUUUAAAAAGGACUUAUUGGGGAAAAGUAUGGAAAGUCAAAAGAAGAGAUGAGAAAGCCAAGAAUGAAAGCAGGAAGCACCUGGAGAGACCAGCAUGAGAACUGUUCAGAAGGCUUUGGCUGAUGGAAGGGCAGAAGCCAUUGUAUAAAUCUACCUUGACAACCUAGCAAUGUAGAUGACAAAAAGAGGAGGCAAUUAAUCCCCAAGAAAGAAGUGGAAUUUUGUGAGAUGGAGUCAGAGGCUUGUCAAGAGCCUAGAAUAAUAAAUUUGCAGCAACCCAGUGCAAAGAGUUUGGGAAGGAAGUGGCAUCAGGCUCAUGAUCUACAACCUACCAGGAAUCCCAUAGCAAUGAAGACAACCUCUUUCUUUAAACUGGAGCAACUUAAUAUACUCUUUGGGAUAAUUGUGAUUUAGAGAGACAGACACAGUUUCAAACAGGGGUUCCUUAUUUUUAUUGUCUCCCUUUCUCUUAUGGCCUGAAGUCUUGUGAAAGUCUAUGGAAUCCUGUUUAAAAUCUUAUUAUGUAACUCAUAAAAUAAAGGGCAGGACAGGUGUUGGGUCCUGUACCAAAUGACCCAUGGGAGCUGAUUGUUAAAUUUUCUUUGUGAGGAAUUAUACCUUGGCAAUACACAAACCUUACAAA